Molecule: ribosomal RNA, 237 nt
Filed under: uncultured bacterium
Lineage: Bacteria
Description: partial 16S ribosomal RNA
Rfam family: Bacterial small subunit ribosomal RNA
Source: RNAcentral
CGAACGGGUGAGUAACGCGUGAGGAACCUGCCCCAAAGAGGGGGACAACAGUUGGAAACGACUGCUAAUACCGCAUAAGCCCACGGCUCGGCAUCGAGCAGAGGGAAAAGGAGUGAUCCGCUUUGAGAUGGCCUCGCGUCCGAUUAGCUAGUUGGUGAGGUAACGGCCCACCAAGGCGACGAUCGGUAGCCGGACUGGGAGGUUGAACGGCCACAUUGGGACUGAGACACGGCCCAG